RNAcentral lists this long non-coding RNA (1158 nucleotides) under Sus scrofa (pig). RNAcentral's name for it is "lncRNA (ENSSSCG00060010610.1)". The record is from RNAcentral. Lineage: Eukaryota; Metazoa; Chordata; Mammalia; Artiodactyla; Suidae.
CUCUACCAGAGUUAGGACAAGCACUUUUGGCAGGAAUUCCACAUUGGAGAUGUUGUGUCCUCCCUGGGCCUCACCUAAAAAAUGUCAGUCCUUCUUGGAGUUCUCGUCGUGGCAGAGUGGAAAGAAUCCAAAUAGUAUCCAUGAGCACAUGGGUUCCAUCCCUGGCCUUGCUCAGAGGGUUAAGGAUCUGGCAUUGCCAUGAGCUGCAAUGUAGGUUACACACAAGAUUCGGAUCUUGUGUUGCUGUGGCUGUGGCAUAGGCUUGCAGCUACAGCUCCGAUUUGACCUCUAGCCUGGGAACUUCCAUAUGCCAAGGGUGUGGCUUUAAAAAGACCAAAAAAAGAAAAAAAAAGAAGAAUGUCAGUCCUUCCCUACUGCUCUUGGCAACUAUGGCCACUCUUGACUACUUGCUUAAAGGACUGACCUCCAAGUCACCACAUUAUGAAGGUACAUUCUUCUGAUUGUACUUAAUAAGUAAUUCUUGGAGUACUUUUUUUGAGACUGCGAGACCAUCCAAUUUAGGAUUUUUUCUUUCUUUCUUUCUUUCUUUUUUUUUUUUUUUUUUUGCUUUUUUAGGGCCACACUCAUGGCAUAUGGAGAUUCCCAGGGUAGGGGGUCCUAAUUUAGGAUUUUUAAUUUCUGAAUCAUUCUUUUUUUUUCAGCCAUGCCCCUGGAAUGCGGAAGUUCCUGGCCCAGGUACUGAACCUGCACCACAGCAGUAACCCAAGCUGCUGCAGUGACCAUGCCAGAUCCUUAACCUACUGUGCCACAAGAGAAUUUCCAAUUUCUGAAUCAUUCUUGAGAAGGAUCAGUGGUGUUGGAGUCAGUGAAACUCCUGCUCGUGUCUGUUGGCUCUGCCCCAUUGUUGUUGCUGCCUGCUUCUCUGGUGGAAGAUGGAGAGAUCUGAUGGAAAUGCGAACCAGCUUGGUCUGAAACAUAAUCACCUCUGGAAUUUUAAGCAUUACCCUGACUAGGAAAGGAAGCUUCUGCAAAAAAAGACUGUUUCACUGACAAAGCUUUUGAAAUGUACAUAAAUGACACUGUCAGUUUGAGUUCCAUCACUAUCUCUAAAAAAAUAAGUUCUGUGACUCAUUUUUUUAAAAGGUAGAGAAUACCCAUCACAGUCAUUUCCCUCCAAUAAAUUAAUUCUCCUCCACA